UUUUUUUUUUAAUGUUGAACAUUGUUUUCUUUUUCGAGCUCAUUUCUGGCUCGCAAAGCCUAGAAAAAUGGUCUGAAUCAAUAGUAACUUUUUUCCCUCUUACUUCUUCCUUCUCUUCUCCUUCCUUCCCACCAUUCUUUCUUUUUCUUCCUCUACUUUUCUCCCCAACAUGUUUGAGUGCCUACUGUGUACCUGGCACGUUGAUGCCGAGUGCCUUGGAUUUAAAGGUGAAAAAGACCCAGGUUCUUCAGAGAGCAGCCCCAGGAGACAGACAGCAAACCCCACUUACCUGUGUGACCAAAGGUAUUGAGAGCCUGAACAAGACACCCAGCCAACCAGGCCACAGGAAGUGGGGUUGCAGGGAGAGCUGCUCAGAGAAGGACUAGCCCCAGCGUUGCAGCACGGGGCACACACACUGGGAUAUGCCUGCCACGUGGUAUGUUGUGUCUCCUGUCACACUUCCUACUCGAUGUCACCCUUGAAUGCCUCAGGCCAUCUCUGCUGAGAAGCCUUUGUUUAAUGGCUCAGAUAGAACCCAUGACUUCCCCCAUCUCUGGGCACUCCUGGAACCUGACUCACCGUUCUGUUAUGAUUCUGACACUGAGUCUGCUCUCCAUCAAAUAAGGCCCUUAAAAAUGUCUGUGAGAUGGGAGACUUAUCUGUCUUGAUGGGCCCUAGUGCAUAGCACGCGGUCAUUUCGUAACCUCAAUAAGUAGAACACAAAAAGUAUACUUUGGCAGCUAAUCUGUGCAAAUUAUAUUUCAACUGUAGAACUAUGGAGCUAUGCAAAACAAUAACAUGGAAUGCUCUUUCAAAAUUCAAUGAAGAUCUGAAGAAAUAUGCUCUUAAUCUAUGAUGUAAACUCUGUGUGUGGCCUCCUUGGAACAAUGCAGUGAAAACAGUGAUAAGUAAACAAUAAAACAAAAGCAAAUCAGUUUCUCAAAACCAGAAAGCUGAAAGCAUCGGAGGAAACACAACUCCACAAAGAAAUGUGAGGCUGACUCAGGUUCAGUUCUCCUGAAAGGGGUUCCAUGGAACAGCCUGUAGGAGUCAUAUGCAAAGAAGCUUCUGGAUCCAGGACAGAGCACAGCCUCAGGAAGGUCACAUGGGUCAAGCUGAUUACCUCCUCCAGCUCUGGCAAGCAGAGGGCUCAGCUGGGUUACACAAGUUCACUGAGCUAUUGACAUUCAGCUGCAGCUCUCGCUCAUUGCUCAUUACCGAUCAGCAGGAGACUGUCUGGGCCUCAGGUUAACUCUUCCGUGCCCUGUUUCAAGAUUGCAGUGAGGUCAAAAAAGAAGCUGGAAGGUAACUUUGCCUCAGCUUGUUCCUGGUUGUUAUUCAAGAAAUGAUCCUUUUAAACCAAUAUCUAAUAUACCUCUUAGAAGGAAGAGCAAUGAUCCACUUGUCAUUUUGAAGGUGCUGGAUAAAACAUAAGUAAAUAAUUGUGUCCCAUAUUUGUUCAUUAUUCAGUAAAUGUUUGUUUCUGGGGAGGGUGAGGG
Long non-coding RNA from Camelus dromedarius (Arabian camel), 1499 nucleotides. RefSeq lists it as uncharacterized. NCBI's taxonomy places the organism in Eukaryota, Metazoa, Chordata, Mammalia, Artiodactyla, Camelidae. The transcript has 5 exons. The record is from RefSeq and is a predicted model, not a curated record.